This is a long non-coding RNA of Gorilla gorilla gorilla (western lowland gorilla), 516 nucleotides long. RefSeq lists it as uncharacterized. The transcript has 4 exons. The record is from RefSeq and is a predicted model, not a curated record. NCBI's taxonomy places the organism in Eukaryota, Metazoa, Chordata, Mammalia, Primates, Hominidae.
CUCUGUCACAUGCAGAGAGAUUCUGUUUUCUGCUGAGGCCUGUCUGAAGGCUCUACAAUCAACUAGAAGCCAGAGUCUGUGUCUUCAACAAAGAAGGGUUGUCUCAGAGCUCCAUGGAAAAGGACUGCGGCAGAGGCACGGAAGCGCAUCCGUGGAAAUCCAUCCCUUCCGACUUCCUUACACCUAUACAAAAGCCUGCAGUUGAUGCCCAGGACUCCAGAUCAGUACAUUCUGUGACAACUAAGGCACAGUGGAACAAGAAGGGCCCAACCACAUAAAGCUCCAGGAGAGUAGGAAUUAGUCUUGCUCUCAACGACAUUCCUGGCACCCAGCAGAAUACCUAGCCUAGUAGGCAACAAAUGAAUACUGGAUGAAUAAAUCUAUGAAUCCAUCAAGAAGCAAGCUUGAGAAUGAGGCCAAAACACAGAGGAAGGCAAAAGAGCAAUGAAGCUGAGCAAAGACACCAGAUUACCCAACUCUGAAACCCAUCCAACCUCUGGACUUCAUUGUUGUGAG